RNAcentral lists this ribosomal RNA (157 nucleotides) under Cordana bisbyi. RNAcentral describes it as "partial large subunit ribosomal RNA". It matches the Rfam family "Eukaryotic large subunit ribosomal RNA", at positions 99 to 261 of the family's 3401-position model. The record is from RNAcentral. Lineage: Eukaryota; Fungi; Ascomycota; Sordariomycetes; Coniochaetales; Cordanaceae.
CGGCAACAGCUCAAAUUUGAAAUCUGGCUUCGGCCCGAGUUGUAAUUUGUAGAGGAAGCUUUUGGCGCGGUGCCUUCUGAGUUCCCUGGAACGGGACGCCAUAGAGGGUGAGAGCCCCGUAUAGUUGAACACCAAGCCUCUGUAAAGCUCCUUCGAC